AUCUGAAGAAUGAAUGGUGAAGCCCCCGAAUUCAGAGAAUGAGCACAGCUUAUAUAGGGAUCCGAAGGAUCAUGACUGUUGGAGGAAGUCAGAAGAAGUUUCAGUCGGGGCGUCGGCUUGUAGAAGGCUUGGUCGAAUAUUGUUGCUGGCAGAUGAAAGGCUGAGGUUAAGUCGACACGAGGGCAGCAGGUUGGUUCAAUGAAUGGGAACAUAAUGUGUGCUUCUGGUCAUAAAGCUUGAAGAUUGAAAUAGCAAAAUCGAAAGUGUGUCUAGAAUAGGAUUAGGAUAUUUUCUUUGUAGUUUUCGAUGUGAAUGUUUCGGCGUAAUGACUUGGAAUUGAUUUUGUGUAAUUGUGGAUGAACUCAGAUGUCGUAAUGAUAAUGGGAAUUGAAAGAUUGUAUAGAUCAAA
Molecule: long non-coding RNA, 409 nt
Organism: Vicia villosa (hairy vetch)
Lineage: Eukaryota; Viridiplantae; Streptophyta; Magnoliopsida; Fabales; Fabaceae
Exons: 4
Source: RefSeq, a predicted model, not a curated record